Molecule: non-coding RNA, 4430 nt
Organism: Benincasa hispida (wax gourd)
Lineage: Eukaryota; Viridiplantae; Streptophyta; Magnoliopsida; Cucurbitales; Cucurbitaceae
Source: RefSeq, a predicted model, not a curated record
UUUCCCUAAAUCAAUUAUUUGUUUUAUAUUACAAAUAUGUUCCUAAUGCCUGAAAAAGCUCGUGUCGCCUGUAAUGCCCUUUCCACUAACCGAUGAUCAUGUAUCAACUCUCCAUAACUUGCAGGCUCAAGCUCCAAUCUGUAAGCGCCUAUGGCAACUCCUCUAAUCAAUGCUCUUUUUUUCCCUUUCUACCUUCUUCCACAGUAUAUGAAGAGGCUUUUCCAGCCAACUUAACCAAUGCUUUUCCUUGCAACCGAAGCCAGUCCACUACCCAGUACCUGAAACUCUGCUUCUUUUUCCUUUUAGUUCCUUUCUCCUUCAUAUUUUUCUUUUUCUUUCUCCCCACUCAAUUUUUCCUAUAUUACUUUCCGUUGUGGAUCUUAUGAGUUAAGUGAAGAUACUUUGCUUGUGCUUUGUGAACUUACUGUACGGCUUAUAUACCUCCACACAAACGUCAUUCAAGGGAUAUGAAGAAUCGGUCUCCUACUCCAGAGUCGCUCGCUCCUCAAUUCAACAGAAAAUUGAAUUCGAAACCAACUCCUUAUGACAUCCGAGAGUUUUAUGCGAGGCCAACUUUUGUCAAUGCCGAUGGGGCUAUAUGGAAAUGGUUUACCAUUGGUAGUUCUGAUGAUGGUAACUAGUUUCCCCCUUGUGUUCAUCUUGAACCAUUUUCUGCGCCGUCCUUUGAACUUCGAUGGGGGUGAAAAACCUCUAGUUUUGGUGAACUCUAAUAUAUCACAAGGGACUAGAGAAGAGGAAGAAGUCGUAACAGGACCAUGGUUAUCUAUUGUAGACAAUCUACUGCCAGAAUUACUUUUAUCGGUUCAACACGUAAAAAAUGAACUGUAUCAAGAUGAGGAUGUGAAGCCGAAAUUGGUAGCUAGGGUUGGAAAAUUUCUCUUUCAUGGGAUAUCUAGAAUUGACAUAAAUAAGCUGCCUACUGAAAGGACAUUGAGACGGCUGAAGGGCAUGUUUUAUACGAAUGUCUUGGACACUUACAUGGAAAACAUUACAGAAAAAGUAAUUCCACUGAUUGGAGUAGAGUUUGAAAAGGAAAAACAUACAUAUCUUGUCAAGGUAGUUGUUUUGAUUUGCAGAUGAGUAUGGUAUGUGUGCAAGGAUUUUCGCUUUGCCCCUGUUGAAUAAUCUUGAACUUUAUAAGGUUGAACUCGACCAAGUGCGCCAUAUGGUUGCAGAUAUUUCGUGCCUGAAACAGAAUAUUGAUAUGAGGGUGAUGCUAUACUCCACGAAGACUUUAAAAAAGCUUACAGAUGAUGAGAUGGAAGGCAUCGUAGAUCUUAUAAAUUCUUCAGUUUUAGACCCAGAUGUGAUGGGCAGCUUAAGAUGGCCUCUGAGAAAAGACACCUCUGGGGAUAGAUUCACAGUGGUUGAAGUUUGGCACAUUGUUUCCAAGUCUUAUGUAAACCCAUUUGUGAAGCUCAAUCUAAGACAUGCCGAUCGAUAUCAUCUCAGGACCUCGAUUGGUGAAGCGUCAAACGAAGUUACUUUGAAGCUAAAACAAGGUACUUCCGAACUACUGGUAAGCAUCCUCCAUAACUGGCUUCCUCAGUUUCACACAAAUAUGGUUUUUGCCUAAAAAAUGCUGCUUUUACGUUUGAUUGUUAAGCUUCUGUUUGCUAACUAUUUUGUUUUUUAUUUUAAAAAAUAAAGCCUAUUCUUUCACAUUUUCUUAGGAUGGUUUGCAUGUGAGUUGAAUUCUUAGCCACAUUCCAAAUUCGAAAAACAAAUUUUUAAAAAUUACUUUUUUUAGAUUUUAAAUUUUGGCUUCGUUUUUUAGAACAUGGGUAAAAAGUAGACAAUAAAGGAAGAAAUCUAGAGGUAGCAGAAGUGUUUGUAGGUUGAAUUAAAUGUGUAUUAUAGCUAUCAUUUGAUCACUAAACAACAGAGUUCUCUAUAUUUAUAUACUGAUAUGAGUUCAAUUUUGUGUAGUUGACAAGAAUAUCUUUUAUUUUAAUUGAUGUGGGGCUAUGUAAAUAGUUGUUUGUUUCUUUCUAAUGAAAUGUUUGGAUAUAAUACUGAUUUUGUGUGAGCUGAAAUGUUGGCAGAUUAUUGUUUUUCAUUAUUUUGUUUGUACUUUUCUUUGCAGAGAGAAAAAGUUGAGUAUGGUGAAAUAUAUAAUAUGCUUAGUGACUACCUAAAGCUAUUUUGGAACCAUUUCGUAUGCUCUGCAUCAUUUUAUCUCCAUUGGUUUCCACAUGAUGUAGUUUGACGUGAGCACAUGAUUUUUAAUUAUUACUUUUGAAAUGUUUAGAUACAAUAUAUUUUUGUGGUAUUCGAGUUGUUUUUUUGAAGCAUUGUAUCUUUAAAUUCUCGUUUGCACUCAGUUUAGUUAGUUUUAGGGUAGUUUGGGCAUUUUCUGAUUAUUAUUUUCUUUUAUUUAAAUUUAUUUUGUUGUUAUUAUAAUUUUGAAACCUUUUGUGAUUUUUUCAAAUAAAACUUUAAAAUUUGUUAUUUUUCUUGUCAAUUCUUUAAUUAACAUCUCUGAGCUCUGAGCUCCAAAUCUUCGGAAUAAAUACCCUCUCGAAUGUGAUCUACUUCCUUUUUUCCCGAAAUUAUAAUUGUAACAUUGAUUAAUGGUUAUUCAUUACUGUAAGAAUUCCCUUUUAUAAAGUGAUUUUUCAUUGAGAGAAAAACACUUAAAGAAUACAAGGUGAUACAAAAAACUAACUCAAUUAAAAGUAGCCAAAAUUGAAAACAGGCUUCAAUUAUGUAAAAAUGAGAAUGGAACUUAACAAGAGCCUACACAGGCCCUUGGUUCUCUCGAGGCCUCGAAAUACGAUUGUUCUUCUCAAACCAAAUAUCCUAUAACAUUGCACAUACCUUUGCGAAUCCACAAAAAUCUCCUUGCAGAAGAGUUGAAAAAGAAUUCCUUGACCUGGUUAAUGGUGUUCAUUGUUUUCCUAUUAGUUAAUGAAAAAAAAAAUAAGAUCGUAAGAAAGGAGUUCUCGAUGGAUAGAAUGUAUACUAAGAUUGUAAGAUAGAGUAUUAAAAAAGGACAAAAUACAUUUUUAGUCCUUGAAAUUUGGACCUAGUGUCUAUUUGGUUCUUGAAGUUUCAAAAUGAACAAUUUUAAUCCUUGAGAUUUGCAAAAUGGUUUUAAAUGGUCGCUAGGCUCUUUGCCCAUUAGUCAACUAAUUGUGAGAUGAGGUAGAUGUUAAUUUUUUGCUGAUUGUGAGGGUGAUUUGGCAAAUAACUAAUAAUUAUUUUUUUUGUUAAUCUAAAAUUCCUUUUGUCUCCCCUUUCCCCUCUCUCACUUUUUUUUUCUUUGUUACAGCCCUUCAAAUAAUUAAAGACUUCUAUCAUUGUCCAUCAAUGUACCACUACUGAUAGUCAAUCACUGUCUAUCACAGUCAAUUACUCUCUAUCAAUGAUAGAAAAUAAUAGAUAGUGAUAUUCUUUAAAUCAGUCUACCACUAUUGAUAGUCAGUGAUGGUGUUCUGUCAGUGUCUAUCAAUGAUAGAAAGUUAUGUAUAUUAAAUUGUCCAAAUAAUUCUUUAAAUCAACCUACCACUAUUAAUAAUCAGUGAUAGUCUUCUAUCAUUAAUAGAAAGUGAUAGGAAGUGAUAUUCUUUAAAACAUUGGCCAACCCUUUUGAAAAAGACAAUUUGCUACCAUUUUAUAUAAGAGAAUUUCAUUAACUGAUAUCAUAUUCUAUGUAAGAUAAUUUAGAUUGUAUCAUUAUGUGCAUCAAAUUGUCCAAACAAUUUUUUAAACCAGUAUACCACUACUGAUAGUCUUUCAAUCACCGUAUACCAAUGAUAGAAAGUUAUACAUUUUUAUCACUGAAUAGUCAAUGAUAGUCUUGUAUGUGAUAGUUUUCUAUUACUAUCUAUUAAUGAUUGAAUAUGCCUGAAAUUUGUAUAUCUUGUCAACUUUUUUAAUCAGUCUACCACUGAUAUUAAAUGACAAUCUUCUAUCACUGAUGUGAUUUAGUUAGUUGAGACAGGUUGGUUAGUUGUUUUAAAUCCCUUGUUUUCCCUUAGUAUGUGUUUGUUACUGUUUUAUUAUGUUUUAGUUACCAACUAUGCUUUUCUGGUUAAUUGUUUGUAUUCAAGACUCAUUAUAUAAGCUGGUCUUUGUUUAAUAAAACCAUCCUAUUGAGUUUUUUAACGAGAAGUUGAGUGAGGCUUGUCCAAAAUGGAGUACGUACGAAAAAGAACUUUAUUCUCUCGUGAGAGCUCUUAAGGUUUGGGAGCACUAUCUGCCAAACGACAAAGUGACAACAGCAAAACACAGAGUUGUAUACCCCAUUGCAUAUUCCCAGAGAACCUUAGAAUUCAGCGAGGGUUUGAUUUUGUGCUUGUAGUGGUUGAUUGGCUCAAUAAGAUGUCUCACUUUUUUCCUUGUAAAAAAGAUUUGACGCCAUAUAUGUUGCUAACUCUUUUUAAAAAAAAGAAUUUGUUCGUCUA